CCGCUGAACUUAAGCAUAUCAAUAAGCGGAGGA
Molecule: ribosomal RNA, 33 nt
Filed under: Ganoderma gibbosum
Lineage: Eukaryota; Fungi; Basidiomycota; Agaricomycetes; Polyporales; Polyporaceae
Also listed under: 3 other names
Description: partial 28S ribosomal RNA
Source: RNAcentral